GAGUUUGAUCGUGGCUCAGAUUGAACGCUGGCGGCAUGCCUUACACAUGCAAGUCGAACGGUAACAGGUCUUCGGAUGCUGACGAGUGGCGAACGGGUGAGUAAUACAUCGGAACGUGCCCAGACGUGGGGGGAUAACGAGGCGAAAGCUUUGCUAAUACCGCAUACGAUCUAAGGAUGAAAGCAGGGGACCGCAAGGCCUUGCGCGUUUGGAGCGGCCGAUGGCAGAUUAGGUAGUUGGUGGGAUAAAAGCUUACCAAGCCGACGAUCUGUAGCUGGUCUGAGAGGACGACCAGCCACACUGGGACUGAGACACGGCCCAGACUCCUACGGGAGGCAGCAGUGGGGAAUUUUGGACAAUGGGCGAAAGCCUGAUCCAGCAAUGCCGCGUGCAGGAUGAAGGCC
This 404-nucleotide ribosomal RNA is filed under the name uncultured microorganism. RNAcentral describes it as "bacterial SSU rRNA". It matches the Rfam family "Bacterial small subunit ribosomal RNA", at positions 9 to 416 of the family's 1533-position model. The record is from RNAcentral.